RNAcentral lists this ribosomal RNA (479 nucleotides) under uncultured bacterium. Its description in RNAcentral is "partial 16S ribosomal RNA". It matches the Rfam family "Bacterial small subunit ribosomal RNA", at positions 28 to 507 of the family's 1533-position model. The record is from RNAcentral.
GAUGAACGCUGGCGGCGUGCUUAACACAUGCAAGUCGAACGAAGCACCUUGAUUCGCUUCUUCGGGUGAAGAUCUUGGUGACUGAGUGGCGGACGGGUGAGUAACGCGUGGGUAACCUGCCUCAUACAGGGGGAUAACAGUUAGAAAUGACUGCUAAUACCGCAUAAGACCACAGCACCGCAUGGUGCAGGGGUAAAAACUCCGGUGGUAUGAGAUGGACCCGCGUCUGAUUAGGUAGUUGGUGGGGUAACGGCCUACCAAGCCGACGAUCAGUAGCCGACCUGAGAGGGUGACCGGCCACAUUGGGACUGAGACACGGCCCAAACUCCUACGGGAGGCAGCAGUGGGGAAUAUUGCACAAUGGGGGAAACCCUGAUGCAGCGACGCCGCGUGAGCGAUGAAGUAUUUCGGUAUGUAAAGCUCUAUCAGCAGGGAAGAAAAUGACGGUACCUGACUAAGAAGCACCGGCUAAAUACGUG